AUUGAACGCUGGCGGCAUGCUUUACACAUGCAAGUCGAACGGUAACAGGCCGCAAGCUGCUGACGAGUGGCGAACGGGUGUGUAAUACAUCUGAACGUGCCCAGUCGUGGGGGAGAACUACUCGAAAGACUAGCUAAUACCGCAUACGAGCUAUGGAUGAGAGCGGGGGGCCGUAAGGGCUCGCGCGCUUGCAGCUGCCGAUGUCGGAUUAGGUAGUUGGUGGGGUAAAGGCGCACCAAGCCAACGAUCUGUAGCUGGUCUGAGAGGAGGACCAGCCACACUGGGACUGAGACACGGCCCAGACUCCUACGGGAGGCAGCAGUGGGGAAUAUUGGACAAUGGGCGCAAGCCUGAUCCAGCAAUGCCGCGUGUAGGAAGAAGGCCUUCGGGUUGUAAACUGCUUUUGUACGGAACGAAACGGCGCUGGUUAAUACCCGGCGCUAAUGACGGUACCGUAAGAAUAAGCACCGGCUAACUACGUG
This 482-nucleotide ribosomal RNA is filed under the name uncultured bacterium. RNAcentral's name for it is "partial 16S ribosomal RNA". It matches the Rfam family "Bacterial small subunit ribosomal RNA", at positions 30 to 507 of the family's 1533-position model. The record is from RNAcentral.